CCUGCCGAAGCUCUUCCCCUGCCGUAGGGUAUUCCCAUGAAGUCAAUGAUACGAGACCUCCAAAGGGAAGCUCAUCGGUUGACAGGAAAAUUUAAGAAGCUUGAAGACGAACUCCACCGGCUAAGGAAGAGCCACUCGAAAGUUACUGUGGAGGCUAUUCACCUUCAGGACCUCCACAAAAAGGGACUCAUGAAAUUCACCCGGAAGAAGGCCGA
This 215-nucleotide long non-coding RNA is filed under the name Elaeis guineensis (African oil palm). RNAcentral describes it as "long non-coding RNA (EGUI_LNC052678)". Lineage: Eukaryota; Viridiplantae; Streptophyta; Magnoliopsida; Arecales; Arecaceae. The record is from RNAcentral.